AAUGAAUGUGGGAAUUUUUCUAAUUUCCCUGAUAUUCCCUGCCCUACUCACACAUAAUACACUUCAAUACUCUACCAUGUACAUGAUGCCUUGCCUCCUGAGGAAGCUGUGAAAAAAAUGCAACUUGGUAAAAUACUGAAAUACUUUGGUGUUGAACACCUUAAGAAAGUACAGGAUGGCAGGAUUCCUGUACUUUGCAGUGCUGUGAUUUUCUGGGAGGAAUAUAAAAAUAUCAACAGGGCCAUACUUGGUGAGUCUAUGAAUGCAUGUACUCAAAUAACCUUCUGCAUGAAAAAGGCAUGAUGUGAGCCCUUCUGCCUGAUUUUACUUCCUCAUCAGGAUAGUGGGCUGGAUGUCUGCACAGCAUUACUCCGCAAAAGUCUUCCACAUUCAUAGCUGCCAGACACCAAAGCAAUAGAAAUGUCAGCUGAUAACUAAACAUCAAGUGUAUCAUUUUCAGUUUUGCUAAACCAAAAGAUUGAUAGAGAUUUCAGGUGAGCAGAGACAUCACAGUAAAGACACAGUCAGCAGCUCAACCACCCCAAUAAGAAACUCAGAAGCAACAUUUCAGGGGUUGUCUUAUGUCUUUUUUUUUUUUCUUUCACUUGAAGGAAUCUCUUUUUUGUCUGUUUUUCCUAUUUAUUUGGCACAUAGAGCUCUCCUUCCCCAUACUCACAGCUUUGCACAUUUUUCCUUUACAACUCACUUUUCCCUUUCAACAUUUAUCAGGGCAACACUGGAACACAAAUGGUUUGUUGAAGGAAAAAAAGCCCCACAGCUGCCUUCAUCUGACUGAUAGCCCAGCAGAAACCUAUACUGUAAAUUAGAGGGCUUCUUCUCAGGUGCCAAUCAAGCACUUUUUCUGAACACUUAAAUUAAAA
Long non-coding RNA from Pezoporus occidentalis (night parrot), 881 nucleotides. RefSeq lists it as uncharacterized. The transcript is spliced from 2 exons. The record is from RefSeq and is a predicted model, not a curated record. Lineage: Eukaryota; Metazoa; Chordata; Aves; Psittaciformes; Psittacidae.